Molecule: ribosomal RNA, 483 nt
Filed under: uncultured bacterium
Lineage: Bacteria
Description: bacterial SSU rRNA
Rfam family: Bacterial small subunit ribosomal RNA
Source: RNAcentral
GGGGGCAACCNUGAUUCCAGCAAUGCCGGCGUGAGUGAAAAAGCCCUUCGGGUUGUAAAGNUNUUUUNUCAGGGAAGAAACACCGGNUNUAACACAGUCCGGGAAUGACGGUACCUGAAGAAUAAGCACCGGCUAACUACGUGCCAGCAGCCGCGGUAAUACGUAGGGUGCAAGCGUUAAUCGGAAUUACUGGGCGUAAAGCGUGCGCAGGCGGUUAUACAAGACAGGCGUGAAAUCCCCGGGCUUAACCUGGGAAUGGCGCCUGUGACUGUAUAGCUAGAGUGUGUCAGAGGGGGGUAGAAUUCCACGUGUAGCAGUGAAAUGCGUAGAUAUGUGGAGGAAUACCAAUGGCGAAGGCAGCCCCCUGGGAUAACACUGACGCUCAUGCACGAAAGCGUGGGGAGCAAACAGGAUUAGAUACCCUGGUAGUCCACGCCCUAAACGAUGCUGACUAGUUGUUCGGGAUUUACAUCCUGAGUAACG